GUAUAAGUCUUUUGUGUAAACCAUUUUUAUUUAACUAAUCAAAACAAGGUCGGCCGAACAUAAUAUGAGGCCUAAAGCGAGAUAUGAUCAACAAAAUUAUGAAAUUUUGAUUGAUUGAUUUACUUUGGUAAAUUAAAUUAAUGUUUAACUAAGGUACUAAGUUCGAAUUCAGCCUUAUAAAUGCAACAUCGUUAAAACUUUUGGGGAGAAUUUGUCGUUCAUUUGAGUUCCAUAAAACUCGAGAGAUUAGUUUUUGCAAGUUGCAAGCGGAGGAUACCAGAUUUUAAAAAAAAAAUAUAUUAAUGUUGGUUGAUUUCAUUACAAUGAUUUUAUUGUAUUUGUAUAAAAUAAUGUUCAUACUUUUUUUUUUUUUUUGAAGGAAAAAUAAUGUUCAUCCUUAGAGGCAUGAGAUUAUAUACCAAAAAAUACUAAGGGUUUUAUUUCUUCUUCUUUUUUUGUGACCAAAAUUUGAAGAGUUUGUACAUGUACUACAAAAUAAUAGUCAGAAAUCAUACAGAAUCUUGUUUCACAAAUUAGUCCACAUUUACCUCAUGACUGUUACAGUGCAGUUUCCUUUUUUUACCUUUAAAAUCUUUUCCUUUUUGGGGUUCUGCGUUAUACUUUAAUUAUUAUCAAUGUACACAAAUAAUAUUAUAAUUUUUUUUAUUACAAAAUAGAACGUCCAAAAAACGUUUCUCAUUAUUAUUUUUCAUUGUUCAUGAUACAUGUACGAGUCAGUGUGAAUGGUGUGGGAACAGUUUGGUCCUAUACCCUUCGUAAGAUUGACCAGGACAUUGUCUGGUUGACCAAGUUCUUGGAUAUAUUUCUAUAAUAUUAUAGAUUUAUAGGCUUUUAUUACAUACAUCAACUAAGCCAUUUAUUUAGACCAAGAGUGUAGUGAGGAUAAAACUUUGUUGGAUGAUGUUAAUAUAUGUGCCCUACACAUAUUGUUACAGCUAAUAUGUGUCUUUAAGAUAAAUGAUAACAUUUCUUAACUUUUUAAGCGAUAUAUUACAUAAAAUGUUAACAAGUGUUUUUAGGGCAUUAUUUAAACAAUUAAAAAAAAUUAAUUUUUGCAGGUGUGUUUAUUACUUUGAUUUAUACUUUUCAUAUAAGGGAUAUGGUGUUUUCUCUUGAAGUUCUUUUAGCAAUGAUAAUUUUGUUAUACACAUUAUUCUUAAUUAUAUACCUAAGCAGUGUAUACAAAUAAUAUGGUUGUGACUAAGAGUCUACAUUUCUCUAUAAAUAUAUUUCUAAAUUCUCUUUAAAUUUGAAGAGGAUGUCCUGAUUUUCAUGAACUACAAGACUAACUAAUUAUAAAAUUUUGAUCAUAAAAAAAUGUCCACUCAAUGCUCUGCCGUAUAAGUUAAAUAAAUUUUUAGUUUAUAGUACAUCCCUUGACCAUUUACUAUUAUUAUGAUAUAUAUGACUCACAUGUGCUACACGACCUACCCAUAAUAUUAUGUUAAUUUCUUAGCUUCUUCCUAUACUAUCCCUUCCAAAUUUAAACUUGGUUUGAUCUUCCUAUAUAUAUAUUAAAUUAGUUUGAACUAUAUAGUUGCUUUA
RNAcentral lists this long non-coding RNA (1566 nucleotides) under Medicago truncatula (barrel medic). Its description in RNAcentral is "long non-coding RNA (MTRU_LNC003821)". The record is from RNAcentral. Lineage: Eukaryota; Viridiplantae; Streptophyta; Magnoliopsida; Fabales; Fabaceae.